Long non-coding RNA from Nanorana parkeri, 206 nucleotides. RefSeq lists it as uncharacterized. The record is from RefSeq and is a predicted model, not a curated record. Lineage: Eukaryota; Metazoa; Chordata; Amphibia; Anura; Dicroglossidae. The transcript is spliced from 3 exons.
GAGAGCAAUAUGACCAGCGGCUUCAUCAAACUUCACUCGGCUUAUUGUGUGAAGGGAUCAUAUCCGAUGGAGCUACUUGUGGCCUGGGAUGACUUUGCUGAGGAGAAGGGCUCAGAGAACGAGCGUCCAGACUUGUUUGGUGCAGAGCAGCUUUUCAUGAUUCUGGAGUUUGAGUUUGGUGGUGAUGACUUGGAGCGGAUGAGUUC